This 441-nucleotide ribosomal RNA is filed under the name uncultured bacterium. RNAcentral's name for it is "bacterial SSU rRNA". It matches the Rfam family "Bacterial small subunit ribosomal RNA", at positions 338 to 795 of the family's 1533-position model. The record is from RNAcentral.
CCUANGGGAGGCUGCAGCAAGGAAUAGUAGGCAAUGGGCGCAAGCCUGACCUCGCGACGCCGCGUGAGGGAUGAAGGCCUUCGGGUUGUAAACCUCUUUUUUCAGGGAUGAAUAAUGACAGUACCUGGAGAAUAAGUCACGGCUAACUACGUGCCAGCAGCCGCGGUAAAACGUAGGUGGCAAACGUUAUCCGGAUUUACUGGGCGUAAAGAGUGCGUAGGUGGUUAUUUAAGUCAGAUGUAAAAUCUCCUGGCUCAACUGGGAGGGACCAUCUGAUACUGGACAGCUAGAGUACAGCAGAGGAAAGUGGAAUUCCCGGUGUAGUGGUGGAAUGCGUAGAUAUCGGGAGGAACACCAGUGGCGAAAGCGGCUUUCUGGGCUGUUACUGACACUGUUGCACAAAAGCGUGGGGAGCAAACAGGAUUAGAUACCCGUNUANUC